This is a long non-coding RNA of Gasterosteus aculeatus aculeatus (three-spined stickleback), 8849 nucleotides long. The record is from Ensembl. NCBI's taxonomy places the organism in Eukaryota, Metazoa, Chordata, Actinopteri, Perciformes, Gasterosteidae.
UCUGUGUGUCCCUACCUCCCUCUAACUGUAUCCCUCCCUCCUGUCUCCCUCUCUUUCUUUCUCUUCUUCUUUCUUCUCUAUUCCUCUCCUCUCUUUCCUCUCCUUCUUGUUCAGCCCCAUUCUUUUCACCUAAUAUAUUUCACAUCUCAUCUCAGCUAAAUUGAUGCUUUUUCGUUCUAUGCAGUGUAUAUAACUUUUUAAUUAAAUUCAAACUUAUUAAACCGAUUUCCACUUUUUCAACUACUCCCACUACUUAAGCUUCUUCUCAUGGCUUUAAGCUAUUCAACCAGUUUAGCUUUAGCUACUCAGCAUUCCCACGCAUUUUCUGCAGGAAAUGCAUUUUCUAGUUUCCCAUAAUCUAUGUUAAGUAUGUUUGUAUAAAGGUAAAAAUGAUCUUACCAUGUCCACUGUAUAACCUACAGUUAUAAUGUACAGUCUUAAAGGUUUCACCACAUGAAUGGAAUUUACCAAUCAGUGUUUUAACAUUACCACAACAUUUUUGUUAGGGACAUUUCUGAAGAUAUGGGUGAGGUUCUUCUACAAUUCAGUAAGUAGAACACAUGCACACGUCCAUUAGGCCUACAUAUUUCUUGAUCAAGGAUUUUAAUUUUAGGUAUCUCACCCAAGAGGACAACCCGGUGUCUACUGCUUCUGACGACACAGUAAGUUGCUAAAAAUGGCUAAAAUAUUCAAGUUAGGCGUUUUUUGUUUUGUUUGUGCAUGCACACUAGUUUACUGUAAAUAAUCAUAAGAUAAUUCCAUAACCCAAACUUCUACCGGAUGUUGCUUAAAGUAGAGCACAAAUUGGAAAUAACAUAUUACUUUAUCCGUUCCAUAUUGCAGCAAUACCCAUAUUUUUAUCAUGUUAGAAAACAACAAAAAAGAAGUUUUGAUUCGUGUGCAAAUGCAGCAUCUCUCUCAGCUGGCCACAUACAAAAUCACAGAACGUGUCUCAUUGUGUCUUGCCAGAUGAAGACAAAAGGGGGCACAGAAUAAAAAAAAAAGAAUAAUUUAUGAUCUAAUGACCAAAAAAAAUCAAUGGAAAGGACUGUUAAAAAUAUAAUCAAAUACAUUUGAGCCGGACUUCAAAUGCACACUGCAAAAAUGAACCAUCUAAAUGCAAGUAAAAAUUACUUAAUUUGAGAAGGUAAAGACUUAAAACAAGUUAAUUUAUCUGCCAGUGCAGUAAGAUUAUUACACUUAGUAAUACACAGUAAGAUUUCUUGAGAUAAGAAAAAUGUUCUAGGCAUCAGAAAGGUGAUACAUGUCUUGUAAUGAGUGGUAAAACACUAAUUUCAAGCACUGUAUUAAGUCAAAUAAACUCAAAAUAAGAUGUCCAUUCUUCUUUCAGUUUUUUUCCUUUCUUAAUUUUAGUGAAAGGUUCUUAAAAGCAGAACCACUAUACAAGACAAUUUCACUUAAUUCAAGACUGUUCAUUAUUAGCUUGUGCGGCUUAAAAUGAGACAAAGCAUGAAUACGAUCAUUGUCAACAACAAUUUAUUUAGAUUUUGUGCCCUUUAACACACUUGUUGCUUUUCAAAAUAUUACAUAUUCUCAAUUACGGAAGCAUUGCAACAGAAAACAUGUGAUACAACUUUGAGGUCAUUAUGGUUAUGUGUCAUCGUCACUGAAUCUGAUUACCUGACAUUCAGAUACAGAAAAAAGUAUUAAGUUUCAAAUUUUCUGUUCAUUCCACCUCCUGUAAUGUUUAUAAACCUAGUUAACCGUCAUUGGCCUCUAUUAACUUUUUAGAUCCAACAUUUGCAGCACAAAAUAUGCUUUGAUGAUUAAAGGAACAAAGAACAAGGCAAUCAGAGAAUACUUGAACAAAAAGGAAGAAAGAAUUUUCUCUUGACAAACUCCAAUGCACACUACUAUCGAUUUAGAGUACCGCGACAGUGAAACUGGUGGUGCCAGUUAUUCUAGUAUAGUAGUUUAACACAGUGAACACCUCUACAUCCCAAUAAAAUCCUUCCAUUCUGUCAUGGCUUUUUUGUAUGAGGUCGUCAUGUCUAAUAUUUCUGUCUGAAUGACUGAGAGGAGGGUUGCCACACACUUUGGAUAGGUGAGAUGCAGAGUGUAGUAGUAAGCCAUCAGAUAAAGCAAACCUUCACAAAGGUCUUCCUUGGCAAAUGUGGUGAUGGGAGUGGUUCCAAAUGUGACAAGACAGCGGGACCCAUCAAAGAGCAAAACAAGUGCAGAGUGUGGUCUCUUCUGAAGGUAGAUGGUGGGAUCUUCUGUUGGCUAAUAAAAAGAAGAAAGAAACAAAUCUGAGAAAUGUCUUUAAGGGUACAAAAAAAAAAACACAAGACACCACUGUGGUGGUAUAUGAAAACAAACUGUCCUGUGUUUUAAACACAGGACCAAAAGAAAUUAAAUGAUAAUUAAAUCAAAUAAUGGCACGGGAAAGACUAGCACUCCUAGUGGUGGCUCAAAAAGCCCUUUUUGUGGACACGCCCCUUGAUUGUUCAACAAUUUUUGGGAACAAACUCACCUGAAGGACAUGAAGCAAUGCCUCACUGGCUUUCCCAACUUCUUCGGUGGGGCAGUUGGUGAAGGAAAGAGGGCAGGAAGUGCCUUGAAUAGAGCUAUGGCAUAUUCCACUAGAACAAAAACAAAUGUUCUCAGAAUUCAGAGAAUUAUCUUUUAUCCUUAUCGCAACCAUGAAAAAAGCCACACAGUAUAUUAGAGACGCAGCAGAAUGCCCUACCUGCAUCCAGGUUCAUGGGCGGCUUCAUCACUUUCUUUGAAACACCGUAAAAUUGCACCUUGGCACAGAAGUCUUCCCAUCUCUUCUUUACUUCAUCUAUGUAUGUGAUGUUGUCCUUAUCCAGGAUUCGUUGCAGCUCACUCAUCACCUGUAAUGCAAUAAGUGUUAACUCCUGCAAUAAUGAUUGUUUUUUUUGAUGAGCUGAAAUAACAAAUAAAUUACGCUUACGUGAUGAAGAUCCUUAAAACAAGGGUAGGCGUCGAGGAUCUUUGUUGGCCUGUCCUCUUCUUUCAUGGCAUCACUGUCGAUGAAGGCUCUUCUUGCUUCAAACUCGAGGUCAAGGAUUUGGUGGACCGCAUCUUUGUUUGGUUUUGUUUUCUUGAACAUCUCCGGCAGAGUUUUAUAAGGUCUGGCCUGUAUGAUCAGACUGUCUUUUUCAGCUAAAAUGGAGAACAAAAAUCAGUAAUGGGUAUCAAACAUGUCAAUCUGAAUGAUAAUAUAGGUUCAGUGUAACAAUUAACAAAAUUAGCGAUGCUGAAUGACCUAUAUACUAAUGCAAUUUUGAAGGAAAAUAGUUAAGUAAUUAUUUAUUACAAUACAUUUCUCCAAUAAAGAAAAGGAACAAUGUGUGUGCUGUUAAUUAUAGUUCUUAGAAAUGAAAUCAACAUCAGCAGGUCAGACUUGCAUCAUAAGAAAUUGGAAAAUAUAGUGAUAAAACCACCUUACUGUAAAUCUCCACCAGACAAAAAGCAAUAUUGUGCAUGUUAUACAUCAACAUAUGCCCUUCCUGCUUUUUAGAGCCAAAUGGAUGCAAUCAAAUAAAAAAUCAUCAGUAACAGCUAAAUAUAUCAAAACAGAAUCAGAAUUAAACUAAAAUGAUCAGUGUCUGUAUUCUGAUAGACAAUUCUUAGUCUUCAUGCUACACAAUUCCAACUUACGUGACCUGUUGCCAUCAUCAGAACUGCUCCCAGAUGUUUGAUGCAAAAUAAUUGUUGAUGCACCACUUGGGUCUGCAUCAUUUUCUUCUCUGUCACUCGAUGAGAAGUCAAUGAGACUCCUUUUCUUUGAAUGGCCCCUCUCUGGAGUGGGCCCCUGCCUCUUUUGUGGGGACUUCACAUUCUGCAGCCUCUUGUGAAGAUUGUUGUAAAUGCUCAUCUGUGGUAAAAACAAAAGGUUUGGUUAUAAUUAGAUGCCUUCUUUUUAUGUUACAGAUAAACCACGGCAGACAAAAUAAAUAAACAAACAUAUUUACCACAAAUUUAAAUCACUUACAUGCUUCAUAGUUUUGUCUUUAUCUUUUUAUCUUUAUCUGUUUAAAUGGAAAUAUGACAAAAUGACAAUCAAACAUAUGUCAUUCAAAUCCGCCUUUUCAUCCCGGAAUUGCGUAAGUGUAUAUGUAAAUUACACGGUGUCAUAGAAUGACCCCCCCCCAACUUGUCUUUUGGUAUCGACCAACCAAAUGCGCAAGGCUGCUCGUGCCCGUCAAAGCCGACAUGAAUCAACAAUUUCCUCGUUUGCUGUCUGCAAUUGUGGAUUAAACAUCACGCUCUUUGUGCUACGUGUAGUUUGCAAGUAUAGUUAUUUUUUGCCCUUGCUGUCUUAGCAAUUCUUGAUUUUGUCGUUAAUGUUUCAGUUUCAUAAAAAACUACACUAACUGUCAGCUUUCAUUAGCUAGCUAGCUAGCUAGCAACUUUUAACAUAAUGGCUUGCUGGAGGUGUGUUAUUUGCUUCGUUUUUGUUGCCUUAACAUUAAAGUCUCUCUUGAGCCAUAUCAACACAGCACAUAGUCGAAACCCCGAUUUCCGUGUUAUAUGCGGAAUUGAUGGAUGUACCGAAGAAUACAGAGUAUACAACUCCUUCUACUACCAUAUCAGAUGCACACAUGCUCUGUAUCUUGCAACUGGGCACCCACCCACCAGAGGGAUGACAGCAGCUACAUCUGAGCCAUCUAGGGUUGGAAGAGAACAUUUUGAUCUACCAAUUUUUUCUGACUGUGCCACUGUAGGAUAUUAGAAACAAAUAUACGACCCGGUUCAUAAAAUUAAUAAAAAUGCAUAUAGUGUACACCAGAAUACAGCCAUGAUUCUGAAACUGUAAUCCAUAAAGUAAUGACAAUAUUGUAAAACUACUGUAAAUCUGCAGCUGUACUAGAAUAAUACCAAUGUAGUUAUGAUUGUAUUUGAUGUAAUGUAAUCAACUGGAAUGCAUGCAUGUAAUACUUGCACAACAACUGAUAUUGACCAAGGAUCAUUCGAAAUCCGAGUUACAUUGAACUCACCAGAAGACCACUCCCAGAGGUGUGGACACUGACUUUCACACCUUUAAGCAUUGCUAUAAAUACCUGUAGGAACCAUUGUUCUGGAGUUCGCUGGUGGAGGCUACAGACGGGCACUAGGGAUGGUCAAAGGACUGACCUGGGGCCUGUUGGUUGCUGAGACCAGCGGCUCCUCAGCUGAGAUGUUCUUUUUACCGCAACGCCAUCUCCUUUAUUAAAUACAUUUGAUUUUAACCUUUUGAUCAGCGAUGACCUCUGUCCGUCUGGCGUUUCUUCAUUUUUGAACACAACACCACUCAAACAAGAGGGAUGCAAAGGACCAGCAGUGAAGUCCGCACAAGUGUCACCCCAAAUGAAAUGCCUCAGCCUCAGCUUGAUGAUUCCCAGAUUCAACAUACUGAUCAUCAGGUAAGAUUCCACUUUUGACUAUCUUGCAUAAUAUUAUAAUAAAACCAUAUUCAUUACAUUUUGUUAAUAUUUUAGUCCCCUGUUGGCCCCCUUUUGAAAAGCAUCAGACUGUUAACACAAACAAGAAGUGACGGGUUUGUGUUAAGAAAAAUGAAAUACUGAUGUAUAGAAGGACAAACAGAAAUAUUUAAGACUUCCGCAAGUUUGAACUAUUUUAUAUAUCAACAUGUCUUUACAGGAAUGUGCUGGUACAUCACAUGAGGCUCUUACCAGACGUGCAGCAGCGUUUGUCAUUAAUGUCCGGGAACAAUGCCACCUGUCCCAGAUGAACCAACCCAUACCUGGCCCUAGCUCUUCACCUGGGGAGCCAGUAGAGGAACAUCUAGAAGACCUCACAAGUCCAACUUUAGACCAGAAACCAACAAAGGAACAGGUGGAACUCCUGCUGCUGGCAUUAAAACUCAAACACGGAUUAACAAAUGGAGCCUCGAAGGACAUCAUGCAUCUUAUCAACUUUAAAGCUGGUCCUGGUGGGGAAUUGGUUAGUGGCUCAAAGUACCUUUUCUACAAAGAUUUGAUUCAGUGAAAGACAUAUUAGAAGUGCAUUAUGUGUGCAAGAGUUGCAACGUAAACAUGCAGGAAGGUCCCUUUAAUGUCAAGUGCCCAGUGUGUGACCAGGACACAUCAAAAGCGCAUGCACAAAAAGACCAGUGUUUUUUGUACUUGCCACUAAAAUACCAUAUUAAAAAACUGCUUGAUGACCACCAAUUAGGGGAACACCUGAAACACCGUUUUGAGAAGGAUGCCUACAUCAAAGAUAUACACGAUGGACAUUUAUACAAAAAACUAUCACGCCUUGCAUCACCAGACAACAUAUCACUGACUUUCAACUGUGAUGGAGUGCCAGUGCACAAAUCAAACACAAAAAGUCUGUGGCCAAUUUUGUGUACUGUUAAUGAACUGCCAAUACAACUACAUGCAAGACAUAUUAUGCUUUGUGGUUUGGUCAAAACAAACCAAAUAUGAACACUUGAAACCAUUUGUCGAUGAAUGGAGUUGUCCUCUAAUGGUCUUACGUGGCAAAGUGAAAUUGGGGAAGUUGUCACAAGUAAAGUACUCCUCACUACCAUGGUGGCAGAUUCAGUGGCCCGGCCAAUGAUUCAGAACUUUAAUGGAGAGUUUGGGUGUUCUUUUUGUAUGCAGAAAGGAACAAGUGUGUUAAAACGCAGGGGGCAUGUAAGGGCUUAUCCCUAUGAAAAAGCAGAGUUGAGGAAUCCCGCCCAGACUGAUGAUCUGGUAGAAGAGGCUCUUGCUGGAAACCCCACUAAGGGAGUGAAAGGGCCUAGUAUUUUGUCUUGCCUAGCUGAUUUUAAUAUCAUUGAUGGCUGUGUUCCAGAUUAUAUGCACAGUGUGCUGCUGGGUGUAGCAAGAAGCAUUACAACGUUGUGGUUUAAUUCUGAAAACAACCAUGGUAUAUCGGACGCUCAACAGAACAGAUUGAUGACAUUAGAACUUCUAUUAAACCCGCCUGUAAUGUUUCCCGUGUCCCCCGCUCAGUGAAAGUCACACGAGUGGAACAUGUGGUUGUUUUAUUACAGCAUACCAAUAUUGAAAGGGAUCUUACCUGAAAACUAUCUGAAGCACUGGUUUAAGUUGGUAAAGGGCUCUUCUACUUGGUGAGAAUAUAUCACCAAUGCACAUAUCAGAAUCUGAGUUGUUGCUAACAGUUUGUUCAGGAAAUGGAUACCCUUUAUGGGAUCAAUAAUGUUACUUUCAAUGUACAUUUGUGCCUUCAUCUGCCCAAUACUGUAAGGAACAGGGGUCCCCCCUGGGCACAGUCCGCUUUUGUGUUUGAGUCAUACAAGAUGUUAUGAUAAAGAGCAGCCAGGGAGUUUCUCUGGAGAUCAUAAAACUGUUUGGCUACAGGUUGCAUUUACAUCAUUUUCCAAAAAAACCUUGCAGGCAGCUUCUGAUGAUUACAAAUCUCUUAGUCUUUCAGUUGAGAAAAAAUGAUGGUGUUACAUCUUGUGAGAUGCAUGUACUGGUAAAAUAUAUUAUAACAUUGUUUUGCGCUAAAGCCGUGUCUCAAGUGUCCUGUAUUUGACCCUGAUGUGCAAAGAGCAGCAUGAUACAAAAUGUUUCUUUGCAGCUGUGUCCUGAGAAGGGAGGGCGGUCAACUCAAGCUCAUAGACGCUUCAAAACAAAGGACUUCUGUUCAUGGCCUUGGCCACUUAUCUAUAGCAAAUUGGCUUAUUUGAGGAAAUUGCACUUUGUUCUUCUGAGUCUGUAUCCUUAUGGUUGAAUGCACGAUAAGUGCUCGUAAGUCGCUUUGGAUAAAAGCGUCAGCUAAAUGACAUGUAAUGUAAUGUAAAUGUAAUUAAUAAGCGGGAUAGUAUUGGGAUAAAUGGGGCUGGUCAAUCUGGUAUAUGCGAGGUCAUUAAGUUGCCUGUAGCCUUCCCAUAAGUACUGAUCCCUGUCCAAAAUCACAAUAGCACUGCCCUUAUCGGCCGGUUUGAUAAUAAUGGUUUUCAUUAUUAAUCAAUUCAUCCACUACUGGUGAGCGGCACCUGGUGUGCUUUGAAAUGGUGGUCAAAAUGUUGAAUGUCAAACUGGAAAAGGGCAGUGAUCGCGUCGGGUAUCUGAUCUUGCAGGAGUCCAGACUUGACUUGUUCAUAAACGGCAGACGUUCAGAAUAGGCCACCAGUUUUAAUUUUCUGUGAUACUCCUGAUACUUCUGUAAAUCAAAGCGGCUCUGCUCUAGUAUUUUUUUAUUUAUUCCCUUAGUGGGAAUAAAAUUAAGGUUUUCAGAGCUUUAGUUUCUGCCUGUAUGCAGGAAUCAGAUGGACCUUGACGAGGUCAGAGUGUCCCAGUGCAGCACGAGGGACGGCGUGAUAAGCCCUGCUUACUGUGGUGUAACAGUGAUCCAGCGUGUUCUCCUCUCUGGUCUUAUUUAAUAAACUGUCUGUACUUAGGAAGUUCAUGGCUGAGAUUUCCUUUGUUAAAGUCCCGGAGGACAAUAACUAAGGAGUCCGGGUUGGUCCGCUCCACACGCCGUAUCUGGUCGGCGAAUGUCCGCUGUGCCUUGUGGACGUUGCCCGCCGGCGGCAUGUAAACACCGACCAGGAUGAAUGAAGCUCACGGAGGGAAUAAAAGGGUUUGCAGUUGAUGAAGAAAGUUUCCAGAUCAGGAGAACAGUGUUUUAGGAUUACCGUUAAAUUCGACCCGAAAAGGCGUCACGGCUGAGGACAAAAAGUCCGGCCAAUGUCAAUGCUGACAGCCGCCUGUACACGUCUGCUGGAUGUCACAAAAGCCAGGUCUGUGUCAGACACCGGUGUACGGCCGGGUGUCAGACUUUUGUGAAAUCGACCACAUCUCACCAGAAUCUGAUUUUGGAUAUCGCCUAUAAGUCUGGCUGUCAGUCUGUGCUAGGCUGCUGAAAAUCGGACCAGCUCCUCC